GGGGCCUCCUGCUGCUGCUGCGCCGCCGGAGCACGAUUUCUGUUCUCAUCCUGAAGCAAAGUUCUUAACCUGAGCUAAUAUUUCUGGGUUAGUGGAGUCUGUAACCUGAAGUGUAUGUAACCUGAGGUACCACUGUACCUGAAUAGCAACCGCUUGUAGAUACCACUGGGAAACCAAAAUAGCAGUCCCUUGUGUGAUCCUUGGGUUCUCGCCAAACCAUGGGA
Podarcis lilfordi (Lilford's wall lizard) is the source of this 224-nucleotide non-coding RNA. Lineage: Eukaryota; Metazoa; Chordata; Lepidosauria; Squamata; Lacertidae. The record is from the annotation of a GenBank genome assembly.